Molecule: transfer RNA, 87 nt
Filed under: Laccaria amethystina LaAM-08-1
Lineage: Eukaryota; Fungi; Basidiomycota; Agaricomycetes; Agaricales; Hydnangiaceae
Rfam family: tRNA
About the family: Transfer RNA (tRNA) molecules are approximately 80 nucleotides in length. Their secondary structure includes four short double-helical elements and three loops (D, anti-codon, and T loops).
Source: Rfam by way of RNAcentral
GCCUUUGUCGAUUAGUGGCUAAAUCAUCUCGUUGUGGUUCCAAAUAAUUUCUCAGAGAAGCCGGAAGUUCGAAUCCUCCCUGGGACA